GACGUAGGGUGCGAGCGUUGUCCGGAUUUACUGGGCGUAAAGGACGCGUAGGCGGCCUGUUAAGUGUGAAGUGAAAUCUCCAGGGCUCAACUCGGAAACUGCUUCGCAUACUGGCAGGCUUGAGGAACGCAGAGGUGAGCGGAAUUCCUGGUGUAGCGGUGAAAUGCGUUGAUAUCAGGAGGAACACCGAUGGCGAAAGCAGCUCACUGGGCGUUAUCUGACGCUGAGGCGUGAAAGCGUGGGUA
This 245-nucleotide ribosomal RNA is filed under the name uncultured bacterium. RNAcentral describes it as "partial 16S ribosomal RNA". It matches the Rfam family "Bacterial small subunit ribosomal RNA", at positions 524 to 767 of the family's 1533-position model. The record is from RNAcentral.